RNAcentral lists this ribosomal RNA (421 nucleotides) under uncultured bacterium. RNAcentral describes it as "bacterial SSU rRNA". It matches the Rfam family "Bacterial small subunit ribosomal RNA", at positions 358 to 772 of the family's 1533-position model. The record is from RNAcentral.
GGGAUAUUGGACAAUGGGCGCAAGCCUGAUCCAGCCACGCCGCGUGAGUGAUGAAGGCCUUCGGGUCGUAAAGCUCUGUGGGGAGGGAUGAACCGCCGGCGGUUAAUACCCGCCGGCAUGACGGUACCUCCUUAGCAAGCACCGGCCUACCUCGUGCCCGCAGCCGCGGUAAUACGAAGGGUGCAAACGUUGCUCGGAAUUAUUGGGCGUAAAGCGCACGUAGGCGGCUUAGCAAGUUGGAUGUGAAAGCCCUCGGCUCAACCAAGGAAGUGCAUCCAAAACUGCUGAGCUUGAGUACUUAAGAGGAUCGCGGAAUUCCCGGUGUAGAGGUGAAAUUCGUAGAUAUCGGGAGGAACACCAGUGGCGAAGGCGGCGAUCUGGGAAGAUACUGACGCUGAGGUGCGAAAGCGUGGGGAGCAAA